Molecule: long non-coding RNA, 665 nt
Organism: Ailuropoda melanoleuca (giant panda)
Lineage: Eukaryota; Metazoa; Chordata; Mammalia; Carnivora; Ursidae
Exons: 2
Source: RefSeq, a predicted model, not a curated record
UGUCAUCGAUAAGGCAGUAAGGUGGUGCCUGCACUGAGGGAGUUCAGCGUUGCCUGUGGGCUCGGAGCUCAGUUUGAUCCUUUCAAGCUGUGUGACCUUGGGCCAGCAACUUCCCCCCUCCUAAGCUUUAUUUCCACCUCUGCAAAGGGAUGGUGCCAGCCACCUGCACUGCUGAUUUACCCAGAAGACACUCAGGAAAGUCUCCACCGACUCCCAGAGUGAAUGGCGUAGCUGGAGGAACCCACACCCAGAGACGGAGGAAAGGGACUCUGCCAAGGUCACACACCAGGUGGGCAGCAGAGCUGGGUUUCUGGGCCCCUCGUUCCAAGGACUUCUGCUGUGCUACAUGCUGUUACCAUGAGCAAGGCCCCGCGAAGGGCUUAGGGCAGGUGCAGAGAACCCCCCACGCCACGCCAUCCUACCAGAGAUGGGGGAGUCCCAAGGCAACACUGGAGGGGCUGAGUCCCAGCCCAGGCCAUAGGACUCUGGCCAGCUUUCUCAUCUCUGAAGCAGGCAUGGUCGUCUAGCGUCCGAAGCCUGUGGAAUCUACUGAGAAAGCCCUCAUUGCUGUGUGAACAGACACUGUGGGGCAGCGCUUAGGGCAUGAUAAAGAUUCUGGUCGUUCUUGAUGGCAGGUGAGGAGGCCAUCUUGGAGUCAGGUCACC